CGCGCGAGACCGUGGGGCCUGUUCUCAGAUGGCCACCCCGCUGGACGGCACGCCCCGGGACAGCGCCGGCCCCCAGCCUGCCCCUCCACGCCCGGGUGUCCAGAUAGAGCCCGAAGCUGGGGGUCUCAGGAGAGCCGGCCAAAAGUGCACUUAGGGGACCCUUGAGUGUUUGAGCACCGGAAUCUUCGCUCCCGCCCCCCACCCCCCAACUUUGCAUCAAAUUGUGCAGGAUGGGCAGGCGCCAGGAACUGAACCGGCAGGCCCAGAGACUGAGGACUGAGACGCCGAUCACCGAGGUCAACCACCAGGAUGCAGAGAGAGCGCCGUCCUGUCCCUCCGACGGGAGCCCCUCCCCAGGAGAGCAGCUGACUGAAGCAGGAGAUGCCUGGACCCUGAGGUCACUGCCAAGGAGGUCAGCCCCUCCUCCUGCGGCCACGAGCAGAAACCGCCUCGUCCCAGCCCCGGUCAGCGUGCCCUGCAGCCUGUCCAGGCAAGGCU
Talpa occidentalis (Iberian mole) is the source of this 498-nucleotide long non-coding RNA. RefSeq lists it as uncharacterized. NCBI's taxonomy places the organism in Eukaryota, Metazoa, Chordata, Mammalia, Eulipotyphla, Talpidae. The record is from RefSeq and is a predicted model, not a curated record. The transcript has 3 exons.